AAGAUCGAAUGCAUGAUCAAAAUAUCUGAACACAACUACCCUGCCCCAGGUUAAGAUUAAGGGUUUUAGAUCCGAAACAAACACCAACUUCUAGGCUCAAAGUGGUUGUCUAGGGAUUAACUCCUUAUAACUUCAGUGUUUGGGGAUUUGAAACAAUGCCUUACAUCAUCGACAAGGUUUACUCAAAAGCAUACCACAACAAUUUCAGGUGUUUUAUUUUCAUCAUCCUCCUUCCAAUCUUUG
This 243-nucleotide long non-coding RNA is filed under the name Lathyrus oleraceus (garden pea). RNAcentral describes it as "Pisum sativum (pea) long non-coding RNA (PSAT_LNC012729)". The record is from RNAcentral. Lineage: Eukaryota; Viridiplantae; Streptophyta; Magnoliopsida; Fabales; Fabaceae.